GCGAGCUUUUCAGUAGUUUACUACAGAAAAUGACUGAGCGGCGAACGGGUGAGUAACGCGUGAGCAAUCUACCUUAGUUACUGGGAUAGCCCAAGGAAACUCGGAUUAAUACCGGAUAUUCUUAUUUUUUCACAUGAAGUUUUAAGGAAAGGUCAGCCGAACUAAGAUGAGCUCGCGUUCUAUCAGCUAGUUGGUGGGGUAAAAGCCUACCAAGGCUACGACGGAUAGCUGGUCUGAGAGGACGAUCAGCCACACUGGGACUGAGACACGGCCCAGACUCCUACGGGAGGCUGCAGCAGGGAAUAUUGCGCAAUGAGCGAAAGCUUGACGCAGCGACACCGCGUGUGGGAUGACGGUUCUAGGAUUGUAAACCACUUUCAGGAGGGAAGAAAAUGACGGUACCUCCACAAGAAGACCCGGCCAACUACGUGCCAGCAGCCGCGGUGAUACGUAGGGGUCAAGCGUUGUCCGGAUUUAUUGGGCGUAAAGAGCUCGUAGGCGGUUCAACAAGUCGGUCGUAAAAGUUUAGGGCUCAACCCUAAAAUGUCGAUCGAUACUGUUGUGACUAGGAUACGGUAGAGGUGAAUGGAAUUCCGAGUGUAGCGGUGAAAUGCGUAGAUAUUCGGAGGAACACCAAUUGCGAAGGCAGUUCACUGGACCGUGAUCGACGCUGAGGAGCGAAAGCUAGGGGAGCAAACAGGAUUAGAUACCCUGGUAGUCCUAGCUGUAAACGAUGGAUACUAGAUGUAGGAACUGGAUUGACGGUUUCUGUAUCGUAGCUAACGCGUUAAGUAUCCCGCCUGGGGGAGUACGGUCGCAAGACUAAAACUCAAAGGAAUUGACGGGACCCCGCACAAGCGGCGGAGCAUGCGGCUUAAUUCGAUGAUACCCGUAGAACCUUACCUGGACUUGACAUAUUAGGGAAAAGCUAAAGAAAUUUAGUGUGCGUAAGCGCCCUAUACAGGUGGUGCAUGGCUGUCGUCAGCUCGUGU
Molecule: ribosomal RNA, 992 nt
Filed under: uncultured marine bacterium
Lineage: Bacteria
Description: bacterial SSU rRNA
Rfam family: Bacterial small subunit ribosomal RNA
Source: RNAcentral